CACGAGUCACCCAUUGCUAUUUAUUGCCACUUUCACCCCCAUUUUUCGGGGCGUCGUCCCCUCCCCCAAUGAACUCUCUCAGACCUCGCUGGGUCGAGGGGCCGGGGGGUCCCCCCAGACCUUCUCCCCAGCCCCCCAACUCCUGCCCAGGGGGGGGCCGCUCUCUCCCCCAGGGCUCGGCUGGGGGCGCCCUCCACCCAUUGGGGUGCGGGGUGGUCUUUUGGGGGAGCACGAGGGGUUCUUUUGGGGUUCAGGUUGGGUUUUGGGGGUACGGAGCCUUCUUUUGGGGUUCAAGAUGAUUUUUUGGGGUGCGCCAAGUCCCUCUGGAGGCCACCAAGUCUCUAUGGAGCCACUAAGUUGCUAUGGGGCCACCAAGUCCCUAUAGAGCCACCAAGUCCCUAUGGGGCCACCAAGUCUUUCUGGGGGUCACCAAGUCCCUACAGGGCCACCAAGUCUCCAUGGAGGCCACUAAGUCGCUAUGGGGCCACCAAGUUGCUAUGGGGCCACCAAGUCUUUGUGGGGGACACCAAGUCCCUACAGGGCCACCAAGUCUCCA
RNAcentral lists this long non-coding RNA (556 nucleotides) under Calidris pugnax (ruff). RNAcentral's name for it is "lncRNA (ENSCPUG00000001648.1)". Lineage: Eukaryota; Metazoa; Chordata; Aves; Charadriiformes; Scolopacidae. The record is from RNAcentral.